This 274-nucleotide ribosomal RNA is filed under the name uncultured bacterium. RNAcentral describes it as "partial 16S ribosomal RNA". It matches the Rfam family "Bacterial small subunit ribosomal RNA", at positions 523 to 796 of the family's 1533-position model. The record is from RNAcentral.
AUACGAAAGGUGCAAGCGUUGUUCGGAUUUACUGGGCGUAAAGAGAGUGUAGGUUGUUUAUUAAGUCGGAUGUGAAAUCCCGGGGCUCAACCUCGGAACUGCAUUCGAUACUGGUAGACUAGAGUUCGGGAGGGGUAAGCGGAAUUCCGUGUGUAGCAGUGAAAUGCGUAGAUAUACGGAGGAACACCUGAGGCGAAGGCGGCUUACUGGACCGAUACUGACACUGAGACUCGAAAGCGUGGGUAGCAAACAGAAUUAGAAACCCUAGUAGUCC